GACGCUGGCGGCGUGCUAAUACAUGCAAGUCGAACGCUUUGUCUUUAAUUGAUAUGAAGAGCUUGCUCUGAUUUGAUUUUAUCUGACAAAGAGUGGCGAACGGGUGAGUAACACGUGGGUAACCUACCUCUUAGCAGGGGAUAACAUUUGGAAACAAGUGCUAAUACCGUAUAACACUAACAACCGCAUGGUUGUUAGUUGAAAGAUGGUUCUGCUAUCACUAAGAGAUGGACCCGCGGUGCAUUAGCUAGUUGGUAAGGUAAUGGCUUACCAAGGCGAUGAUGCGUAGCCGAGUUGAGAGACUGAUCGGCCACAAUGGGACUGAGACACGGCCCAUACUCCUACGGGAGGCAGCAGUAGGGAAUCUUCCACAAUGGGCGCAAGCCUGAUGGAGCAACGCCGCGUGUGUGAUGAAGGGUUUCGGCUCGUAAAACACUGUUAUAAGAGAAGAACGACAUUGAGAGUAACUGUUCAGUGUGUGACGGUAUCUUAUCAGAAAGGAACGGCUAAAUACGUGCCAGCAGCCGCGGUAAUACGUAUGUUCCAAGCGUUAUCCGGAUUUAUUGGGCGUAAAGCGAGCGCAGACGGUUAUUUAAGUCUGAAGUGAAAGCCCUCAGCUCAACUGAGGAAGGGCUUUGGAAACUGGAUAACUUGAGUGCAGUAGAGGAAAGUGGAACUCCAUGUGUAGCGGUGAAAUGCGUAGAUAUAUGGAAGAACACCGGUGGCGAAAGCGGCUUUCUGGACUGUAACUGACGUUGAGGCUCGAAAGUGUGGGUAGCAAACAGGAUUAGAUACCCUGGUAGUCCACACCGUAAACGAUGAGUGCUAGAUGUUCGAGGGUUUCCGCCCUUGAGUGUCGCAGCUAACGCAUUAAGCACUC
This 880-nucleotide ribosomal RNA is filed under the name Weissella thailandensis. Its description in RNAcentral is "bacterial SSU rRNA". It matches the Rfam family "Bacterial small subunit ribosomal RNA", at positions 32 to 869 of the family's 1533-position model. Lineage: Bacteria; Bacillati; Bacillota; Bacilli; Lactobacillales; Lactobacillaceae. The record is from RNAcentral.